Molecule: long non-coding RNA, 676 nt
Organism: Nicotiana attenuata
Lineage: Eukaryota; Viridiplantae; Streptophyta; Magnoliopsida; Solanales; Solanaceae
Exons: 2
Source: RefSeq, a predicted model, not a curated record
CCCAUUUUUACGAAGACCCCUUCGGUUGAGAAUCAGAAAAAAAAGAUAGUAGAAAGAAGGCGCCAAUGGAGAAGAUCAGAGAUGUUACGUUUGCAGAACAGCUAUUGUUGGAAGGUGAUGGUAUCUGUAUAUGGUUCUGAUGGUGAAUCACUCUAAUAUUCUUUGCAGGUGUAGUUAGUGUAAGAUCUUAACUAAUUCUCCUUGUAAAUUUACCGUCAAGAUCUACCUUGUUCGGGAGUAUGUGCUCUCAACAAGCACGUGUACCAGAGAUCAAAGUGGCUUGAUUGCUGAAAUGUUUUUGGUCUACAUUAGGCUCAAACUGGAUUACCUAUACAACUUUAAUGUCUUAAAUGUGGUGAAUGUAUAAUUCUGCAAUUUGAAAAAUAUUUUUUUUGUUUCCAGUUUGUAACAUCUAUCUGCUGAAGUCUGUGGUGUUAGCCAACCGAGGUAAAGCAUUUGCGCAAUGAAGAUCCUGAUGGUGCAUUUGUACUUUGUUAACAAAUUAUGGGUUCUCAAAUCAUACAUGGUCACUAUGAGAAUCCUACUUAAAAAUAAAUAGACUGGUAAACUUCGUCCCAUAAUUUAUUUGUCACAGUGAGGUCUCUUACGUGAAGAAUGAAGAGCCUCUUACCAUUAAUAUUAGACUGACUCAUAGGAAAAAUAGCUACUUAUUAUU